This 654-nucleotide small RNA is filed under the name Pan troglodytes (chimpanzee). RNAcentral describes it as "retained intron". The record is from RNAcentral. Lineage: Eukaryota; Metazoa; Chordata; Mammalia; Primates; Hominidae.
GCUGGAUGUGGUGGCACGUGCCUAUACUCCCAGCUACUCAGGAGUCUGAGGCAGGAGGAUCACCUGAGCCUCGAGAGCCAGAGGUGGAGGCUGCAGUGAACUCUGAUUGUACCACUGCACUUCAGCCUAGGUGACAGGGUGAGACCCUGCCUUAAAACAAACAAACAAACAAAAAAUAGGCCAAAUUCUCAUCAAAACUCUGAAAAAUAGCAUGUGCAUUGGUCAUUUCUAGCCCUCUUGACUUACUGUAGGUGUGAUCAGCACUGGAAAAGAUGCCUGCCCCUGCUGCCACAUAUGAAAGAGUAGUUUACAAAAACCCUUCCGAGUACCACUACAUGAAAGUCUGCCUAGAAUUUCAAGAUUGUGGAGUUGGACUGAAUGCUGCACAGUUCAAACAGCUGCUUAUUUCGGCUGUGAAGGACCUGUUCGGGGAGGUUGAUGCCGCCUUACCUUUGGACAUCCUAACCUAUGAAGAGAAGACCUUGUCAGCCAUCUUGAGAAUAUGUAGCAGUGGUCUUGUCAAAUUGUGGAGCUCUUUGACCCUGUUAGGAUCCUAUAAAGGCAAAAAAUGUGCUUUCCGGGUGAUUCAGGUUUCUCCAUUUCUCCUUGCAUUAUCUGGUAAUAGUAGGGAACUAGUAUUGGACUGAAUGAAUA